Molecule: unclassified non-coding RNA, 257 nt
Filed under: Hevea brasiliensis (rubber tree)
Lineage: Eukaryota; Viridiplantae; Streptophyta; Magnoliopsida; Malpighiales; Euphorbiaceae
Source: RNAcentral
GAAUUAUUAAAAAAAGAAAGAAAAAAGAAAGGGAGAAGUUGCCACUGAAAAAGCACUCACAGUACGUGCCAUUGGCCACUUAAACAUGAGAUUAAAGAGAGGAAAAAAGAAAAAAACAAGAAAAAUAGAGGAGAAGAAGAGAUUUGAGAAAGCUUUAAAAUUAUGAAAUGAUUAGAACAUAUAGCUGGGUGCAUACAAGAUGAAGCCAUAGAAGAUGCAUGGUGCAAGCAUCCAAAAAUAGCGGAGGACAAUGUGCA